Molecule: long non-coding RNA, 293 nt
Filed under: Elaeis guineensis (African oil palm)
Lineage: Eukaryota; Viridiplantae; Streptophyta; Magnoliopsida; Arecales; Arecaceae
Description: long non-coding RNA (EGUI_LNC066854)
Source: RNAcentral
GAGGGGUUGUCAGAUAAUUCUUUUUCGAGAAAAAAAUUUCAUGGUCUAUCAGAAGAUAGUCUUUCUUGAAAUUCUUCAUACUGAAUUAUUUCAGCAUGGUAUCUAUUGGGUAUAAAAUACCCACAGCCGAAGUUCGUAAAAGGCCGACCCUUCUAGGACUCUUCCGGCUUCUGACCUUGUAUGGCAUCUUUCUGAACUCCCUAGACCGUCUGAGCUUCCAUAAUACCAUCCAGACUUCUUCGAUAAUGGGCUCCUCUAUUCAUCUAUCGGGCUGCACCAAAUGCUUUUUGAGC